Molecule: long non-coding RNA, 924 nt
Organism: Girardinichthys multiradiatus
Lineage: Eukaryota; Metazoa; Chordata; Actinopteri; Cyprinodontiformes; Goodeidae
Exons: 3
Source: RefSeq, a predicted model, not a curated record
GUUAGCUGCUGAUCAGUUAAAAUUUGAAAUUUGAAGGUUUCCUAGGUCACAUCCCACUGGUAGGAGAUCCCGGGACAGACCCAGAUUACCUUGGAGGGAGUAUUUAUACUUUCUGGUCUUGGAAUGCUUUGGGAUCUCUCAGAAAGAGCUGUGGAGUUUAGCCUGGGUGAGGGAUGUCUGAGUUUACUCCGGAAACUGAAACUCCUGGUUUCCACAGCGAUCUAAUCAUAGUUAAGUGGAUGACAAUUAUGGAUGGAUGGACAGAUGAAUAGUUUAAAAAAGGACAUUGAGAAUUAACUGAGAGUUCAAAAGUUUGUCUGAUUCCAGAAAGUGAUUAGAUUUUUUGGUGUCAAAAUGAAGGGAAUAUUUGGACCCGUUGCUGGGUUGUUCAGGCACCUAUGGAUGUGGACAGCUUCAUAAGAGAUGAAGCUUAAAAGGAAUGCUGUGGGUUGCUAUAAUUGAAACUAACAAAGCCAAACAGUCAAUCCUUUCUACUCAAUGAACUUUGCACCAGGAAAGAAGUUACUGAUUAAAUUAAAUGGAGACUUGUACAACCAACUCCCCAUACUGCUAAAUCUCUGACAUUUCUGAAACGUCCAACAAACAACUUACAAUUCAGAAAUCUAACAGCCGACAUGGCAAACAAGCCAGAAUUACCAAGAAGAAGCUCCAUGGACACUCAUAUUUUAUUCCAAAAAUUUUAUGAAUAUUACCAACUAUUCAUCAGUCUACAGGACAAAAGUGAAGCAAGUGUGAGAAAUAUUUUACAAGAGCUCAGAAGGACAAUUAACAAAAUCAAAAAGUUGCAAAGUGAAACUAAUAAAACAAGCUUGAUCGGAGGAGGAGUUGGAGGUCUUGGUAUAGGGUUGGGAGUGGCUACAGCUGGAGUAUUAUUAUUCGGUGGUUUUGAAAAAAAUGACAAAC